CCAUCAUACCCACAGUCAUGGUCCCAGCCUUGUGAGUCCAGAACUGGUCUCACAAGAAGCUGUGAUGUAGGCUCCAACAUUCGGUACCUAUAAGAAGGACUGUCACUGUCAAAGGAAGGCGGGAGGACGAAUUCGGGUAUGGGAACUGGCACACUUGCUGGACCUCCAUCUUCCUGGUCUACAUCUUCCCCAGUGUAGUCACGAUCACUUCUACUAUCUUUGCCUUUCUUCUUGAGCUCCUUCAACUUUUUCACCCCCUCUAUCCACUGCUUCUUUUGAAGGAGUUUCACCCGAUAAUCAUACUCAUCAAAAUAUGCUUGCCUUUGCACUCUGCUAAGCUUAUUAACCUGAGAUUUCUUCAAAGGCUUGAAAGAUGGAAGUUGAUCAUACUCAUCUUCUUCAUCGGAAUCAAAUAAAUCCAUAUCUGAAUCAUCAUCAUCACCACCCUGCCCAGCAGUGAGUUUUGGAUGAGGGCGAGACUGCAAUAGAGAUGACACCAAGUGGGGCAGAGGCAGAGGACGUAGCUGUAAGCCAAACAGCUUAUUGUAAUCAAAAGGAUCUACAGGCUUGGUUAUAGAACUCACUUCUGAUAAAAUCUUCAAUGAGUAGCACAAAAGUAAUAAUUGGGAUCUCCAACUUUGUCCAUUAGGGAGGAUUCUUUGUCCUUGUUUGUUCUUUUCACACAACGGAUGAUUCUCAACAAGAGAUACUGGAUGCCUCAUACUUGGAUACAUUAGACGCAGAUCACCAACUGCUUGGCUGAUAGCCUGGUGCGAUCGUUGAGCAACAAACACCUCAAAACUUAACGGUGAUCCAGAUGGCCCAUCAGGAGGAGUAGCCGCUGCAUGGGUCAGGGUGACAAUGGCGUUUCGCCAUACUGAUGGAGUGAGAGAAUUUGUGAGUGACGCUAACAAUAGAAAAUCAUUAAGGUCUCUUGUGUGAUCAUCUAGCCGAUCAACAUAAAGGACAACAUCUGGAGGGAACUUCUUCGUUAUCUUCUUUAUAGAUACUAAUAUUUUCCUGUUGGUAGCUUCUUCCUUCACAGGGGAUCUGAGACCUGGGGUGUCAAGGAUUCUGAUCCUAACGCCAUCUAUUGCUCCCACAAUCUCCUCAGCUCUAGUUGUGGCAGGUUCAAAUGCAUUGAUCAUGACUUUCUUCUGGCCAAAAAUAGAAUUAAUGGUUGCACUUUUCCCCACUCCACUUUUUCCAAUAACUAAAAUGUUCAAACAGAAGUCUAAAUCAUCUUUGCCCUCAGCUUCAAGCUGCGUGGCCAUUUUCUUAGAAUCUUCGAGGGCAAAUUCUUGGCUAACAUGCAAACCUGAAGCUAGGACCAACCUGUGUAGCACUUGUGCAACUAUUGAAUCUUCAGGAGAAUGUCCAAGUCGCUGGACAAGCCUCAAGAACUUCACCCUAAUGUGUUGUAUCUUUUCAAUCAUCUUCUGUUCUUCCUCACCUGUAUUAUUAUUCACAACAUCCUUGACCAUACCCGAUUGUGAAGCUAGGUUUGUAGUGUCAAAUUUGGAACCUGAACCAGCAGGAUGCCCAACAGAAAAUACUCUGGAAUCAGCAGAAGUUGCAGCGAUACUGUCUCCAUCCAACUCAACUCCAGUUGCUGCUUUCAAAAGAGCCAAUGCAGCAGAGUCAAAUACUUCCUUUGUUUCAUGCUCCUUAUCUGUCUCCAAUUUUUCAUCUGAGUCGGGAACAGUCUGCCCAUCAAUUCCCUCUUGAUGAUCAUGGAAAUCAUCAGCCACUG
Molecule: unclassified non-coding RNA, 1753 nt
Filed under: Hevea brasiliensis (rubber tree)
Lineage: Eukaryota; Viridiplantae; Streptophyta; Magnoliopsida; Malpighiales; Euphorbiaceae
Source: RNAcentral